This 486-nucleotide ribosomal RNA is filed under the name uncultured bacterium. Its description in RNAcentral is "partial 16S ribosomal RNA". It matches the Rfam family "Bacterial small subunit ribosomal RNA", at positions 30 to 507 of the family's 1533-position model. The record is from RNAcentral.
AUUGAACGCUGGCGGCAUGCCUUACACAUGCAAGUCGAACGGCAGCACGGGUGCUUGCACCUGGUGGCGAGUGGCGAACGGGUGAGUAAUACAUCGGAACAUGUCCUGUAGUGGGGGAUAGCCCGGCGAAAGCCGGAUUAAUACCGCAUACGAUCUACGGAUGAAAGCGGGGGACCUUCGGGCCUCGCGCUAUAGGGUUGGCCGAUGGCUGAUUAGCUAGUUGGUGGGGUAAAGGCCUACCAAGGCGACGAUCAGUAGCUGGUCUGAGAGGACGACCAGCCACACUGGGACUGAGACACGGCCCAGACUCCUACGGGAGGCAGCAGUGGGGAAUUUUGGACAAUGGGCGAAAGCCUGAUCCAGCAAUGCCGCGUGUGUGAAGAAGGCCUUCGGGUUGUAAAGCACUUUUGUCCGGAAAGAAAUCCUUGGCCCUAAUACGGUCGGGGGAUGACGGUACCGGAAGAAUAAGCACCGGCUAACUGCGUG